GCUCGUGUAGCUCAGUGGUUAGAGCCUCGUGCUUAUAGAACGCGAUCGUCGUGGGUUCAAUCCCCACCUCGAGCA
RNAcentral lists this transfer RNA (75 nucleotides) under Petasospora fabianii. Its description in RNAcentral is "Cyberlindnera fabianii tRNA-Ile (TAT) cove score=62.66". It matches the Rfam family "tRNA". Rfam says of the family: Transfer RNA (tRNA) molecules are approximately 80 nucleotides in length. The record is from RNAcentral. Lineage: Eukaryota; Fungi; Ascomycota; Saccharomycetes; Phaffomycetales; Wickerhamomycetaceae.